Molecule: ribosomal RNA, 484 nt
Filed under: uncultured bacterium
Lineage: Bacteria
Description: partial 16S ribosomal RNA
Rfam family: Bacterial small subunit ribosomal RNA
Source: RNAcentral
AUUGAACGCUGGCGGCAGGCCUAACACAUGCAAGUCGAGCGGAUGACGGGAGCUUGCUCCUUGAUUCAGCGGCGGACGGGUGAGUAAUGCCUAGGAAUCUGCCUGGUAGUGGGGGACAACGUUUCGAAAGGAACGCUAAUACCGCAUACGUCCUACGGGAGAAAGCAGGGGACCUUCGGGCCUUGCGCUAUCAGAUGAGCCUAGGUCGGAUUAGCUAGUUGGUGGGGUAAUGGCUCACCAAGGCGACGAUCCGUAACUGGUCUGAGAGGAUGAUCAGUCACACUGGAACUGAGACACGGUCCAGACUCCUACGGGAGGCAGCAGUGGGGAAUAUUGGACAAUGGGCGAAAGCCUGAUCCAGCCAUGCCGCGUGUGUGAAGAAGGUCUUCGGAUUGUAAAGCACUUUAAGUUGGGAGGAAGGGCAGUAAGUUAAUACCUUGCUGUUUUGACGUUACCGACAGAAUAAGCACCGGCUAACUCUGUG